This 336-nucleotide ribosomal RNA is filed under the name uncultured bacterium. RNAcentral's name for it is "bacterial SSU rRNA". It matches the Rfam family "Bacterial small subunit ribosomal RNA", at positions 8 to 334 of the family's 1533-position model. The record is from RNAcentral.
AGAGUUCGAUUCUGGCUCAGGAUGAACGCUGACAGAAUGCUUAACACAUGCAAGUCUACUUGAUCCUUCGGGUGAUGGUGGCGGACGGGUGAGUAACGCGUAAAGAACUUGCCCUGCAGUCUGGGACAACAUUUGGAAACGAAUGCUAAUACCGGAUAUUAUGUGAGUUUCGCAAUAUUAUGUGAGUUUCGCAUGAAAUUCAUAUGAAAGCUAUAUGCGCUGCAGGAGAGCUUUGCGUCCUAUUAGCUAGUUGGUGAGGUAACGGCUCACCAAGGCGAUGAUAGGUAGCCGGCCUGAGAGGGUGAACGGCCACAAGGGGACUGAGACACGGCCCUU